CCAUGCAGUCGACGGUACAGGAAGAGCUUGCUUCUUUGCUGACGAGUGGCGGACGGGUGAGUAAUGUCUGGGAAACUGCCUGAUGGAGGGGGAUAACUACUGGAAACGGUAGCUAAUACCGCAUAACGUCGCAAGACCAAAGAGGGGGACCUUCGGGCCUCUUGCCAUCGGAUGUGCCCAGAUGGGAUUAGCUAGUAGGUGGGGUAACGGCUCACCUAGGCGACGAUCCCUAGCUGGUCUGAGAGGAUGACCAGCCACACUGGAACUGAGACACGGUCCAGACUCCUACGGGAGGCMGCAGUGGGGAAUAUUGCACAAUGGGCGCAAGCCUGAUGCAGCCAUGCCGCGUGUAUGAAGAAGGCCUUCGGGUUGUAAAGUACUUUCAGCGGGGAGGAAGGGAGUAAAGUUAAUACCUUUGCUCAUUGACGUUACCCGCAGAAGAAGCACCGGCUAACUCCGUGCCAG
Molecule: ribosomal RNA, 465 nt
Filed under: uncultured bacterium
Lineage: Bacteria
Description: bacterial SSU rRNA
Source: RNAcentral